Molecule: ribosomal RNA, 2916 nt
Filed under: Vibrio parahaemolyticus
Lineage: Bacteria; Pseudomonadati; Pseudomonadota; Gammaproteobacteria; Vibrionales; Vibrionaceae
Description: bacterial LSU rRNA
Rfam family: Bacterial large subunit ribosomal RNA
Source: RNAcentral
GUUGUAUGGUUAAGUGACUAAGCGUACACGGUGGAUGCCUUGGCAGUCAGAGGCGAUGAAAGACGUAGUAACUUGCGAUAAGCCCAGAUUAGGUAGUAACAACCAUUUGAGUCUGGGAUUUCUGAAUGGGGAAACCCACGUGCAUAAGCACGUAUCCUUACCUGAAUACAUAGGGUAAGGAGGCGAACCGGGGGAACUGAAACAUCUAAGUACCCCGAGGAAAAGAAAUCAACCGAGAUUCCGAAAGUAGCGGCGAGCGAAAUUGGACUAGCCCUUAAGCUUUACACGCGUUAGACGAACGGUCUGGAAAGUCCGACGAUACAGGGUGAUAGUCCCGUAGUUGACGACGUGUGUUCAGUGAAAUCGAGUAGGGCGGGACACGUGAUAUCCUGUCUGAAUAUGGGGGGACCAUCCUCCAAGGCUAAAUACUACUGACUGACCGAUAGUGAACCAGUACCGUGAGGGAAAGGCGAAAAGAACCCCUGUGAGGGAGUGAAAUAGAACCUGAAACCGUGUACGUACAAGCAGUAGGAGCAGGCUUUGUCCUGUGACUGCGUACCUUUUGUAUAAUGGGUCAGCGACUUAUAUUCAGUGGCAAGGUUAACCAUCUAGGGGAGCCGUAGGGAAACCGAGUCUUAACUGGGCGUUCAGUCUCUGGAUAUAGACCCGAAACCAGGUGAUCUAGCCAUGGGCAGGUUGAAGGUUGAGUAACAUCAACUGGAGGACCGAACCGACUAAUGUUGAAAAAUUAGCGGAUGACUUGUGGCUAGGGGUGAAAGGCCAAUCAAACCUGGAGAUAGCUGGUUCUCCCCGAAAGCUAUUUAGGUAGCGCCUCGGACGAAUACUACUGGGGGUAGAGCACUGUUAAGGCUAGGGGGUCAUCCCGACUUACCAACCCUUUGCAAACUCCGAAUACCAGUAAGUACUAUCCGGGAGACACACGGCGGGUGCUAACGUCCGUCGUGGAGAGGGAAACAACCCAGACCGCCAGCUAAGGUCCCAAAUUACUACUAAGUGGGAAACGAUGUGGGAAGGCUCAGACAGCCAGGAUGUUGGCUUAGAAGCAGCCAUCAUUUAAAGAAAGCGUAAUAGCUCACUGGUCGAGUCGGCCUGCGCGGAAGAUGUAACGGGGCUAAGUAGUAAACCGAAGCUGCGGCAAUGUGCUUUUGCACAUUGGGUAGGGGAGCGUUCUGUAAGCGGUUGAAGGUGUGUGGUAACGCAUGCUGGACGUAUCAGAAGUGCGAAUGCUGACAUGAGUAACGAUAAAGGGGGUGAAAAACCUCCUCGCCGGAAGACCAAGGGUUCCUGUCCAACGUUAAUCGGGGCAGGGUAAGUCGACCCCUAAGGCGAGGCCGAAAGGCGUAGUCGAUGGGAAACGGGUUAAUAUUCCCGUACUUCUUACAAUUGCGAUGGGGGGACGGAGAAGGCUAGGUGGGCCUGGCGACGGUUGUCCAGGUUCAAGUGCGUAGGCUUAAGAGUUAGGUAAAUCCGGCUCUUUUUAAGGCUGAGACACGACGUCGAGCCAUCUACGGAUGUGAAGUCAUUGAUGCCAUGCUUCCAGGAAAAGCCUCUAAGCUUCAGAUUGUAAGGAAUCGUACCCCAAACCGACACAGGUGGUCGGGUAGAGAAUACCAAGGCGCUUGAGAGAACUCGGGUGAAGGAACUAGGCAAAAUGGUACCGUAACUUCGGGAGAAGGUACGCUCUCGACGGUGAAGUCCCUCGCGGAUGGAGCUAUUGAGAGUCGCAGAUACCAGGUGGCUGCAACUGUUUAUUAAAAACACAGCACUGUGCAAAAUCGUAAGAUGACGUAUACGGUGUGACGCCUGCCCGGUGCCGGAAGGUUAAUUGAUGGGGUUAGACUUCGGUCGAAGCUCUUGAUCGAAGCCCCGGUAAACGGCGGCCGUAACUAUAACGGUCCUAAGGUAGCGAAAUUCCUUGUCGGGUAAGUUCCGACCUGCACGAAUGGCGUAAUGAUGGCCACGCUGUCUCCACCCGAGACUCAGUGAAAUUGAAAUCGCUGUGAAGAUGCAGUGUACCCGCGGCUAGACGGAAAGACCCCGUGAACCUUUACUACAGCUUGGCACUGAACAUUGACCCUACAUGUGUAGGAUAGGUGGGAGGCUUUGAAGCACGUACGCCAGUAUGUGUGGAGCCGUCCUUGAAAUACCACCCUUGUAGUGUUGAUGUUCUAACGUCGACCCCUUAUCGGGGUUGCGGACAGUGCCUGGUGGGUAGUUUGACUGGGGCGGUCUCCUCCCAAAGAGUAACGGAGGAGCACGAAGGUGGGCUAAUCACGGUUGGACAUCGUGAGGUUAGUGCAAUGGCAUAAGCCCGCUUGACUGCGAGAAUGACAAUUCGAGCAGGUGCGAAAGCAGAUCAUAGUGAUCCGGUGGUUCUGAAUGGAAGGGCCAUCGCUCAACGGAUAAAAGGUACUCCGGGGAUAACAGGCUGAUACCGCCCAAGAGUUCAUAUCGACGGCGGUGUUUGGCACCUCGAUGUCGGCUCAUCACAUCCUGGGGCUGAAGUCGGUCCCAAGGGUAUGGCUGUUCGCCAUUUAAAGUGGUACGCGAGCUGGGUUUAGAACGUCGUGAGACAGUUCGGUCCCUAUCUGCCGUGGGCGUUGGAAGAUUGAAGGGGGCUGCUCCUAGUACGAGAGGACCGGAGUGGACGAACCUCUGGUGUUCGGGUUGUGUCGCCAGACGCAUUGCCCGGUAGCUAAGUUCGGAAUCGAUAACCGCUGAAAGCAUCUAAGCGGGAAGCGAGCCCUGAGAUGAGUCUUCCCUGAUACUUUAAGUAUCCUAAAGGGUUGUCGGAGACUACGACGUUGAUAGGUCAGGUGUGUAAGUGCUGUGAGGCAUUGAGCUAACUGAUACUAAUUGCCCGUGAGGCUUAACCAUACAACACCCAAGGGGUUU